RNAcentral lists this ribosomal RNA (468 nucleotides) under uncultured bacterium. RNAcentral describes it as "partial 16S ribosomal RNA". It matches the Rfam family "Bacterial small subunit ribosomal RNA", at positions 28 to 507 of the family's 1533-position model. The record is from RNAcentral.
GACGAACGCUGGCGGCGUGCUUAACACAUGCAAGUCGAACGGAAAGGCCCUGCUUUUGUGGGGUGCUCGAGUGGCGAACGGGUGAGUAACACGUGAGUAACCUGCCCUUGACUUUGGGAUAACUUCAGGAAACUGGGGCUAAUACCUGAUAGGAGCUCCUGCUGCAUGGUGGGGGUUGGAAAGUUUCGGCGGUUGGGGAUGGACUCGCGGCUUAUCAGCUUGUUGGUGGGGUAGUGGCUUACCAAGGCUUUGACGGGUAGCCGGCCUGAGAGGGUGACCGGCCACAUUGGGACUGAGAUACGGCCCAGACUCCUACGGGAGGCAGCAGUGGGGAAUAUUGCACAAUGGGCGGAAGCAUGAUGCAGCAACGCCGCGUGCGGGAUGACGGCCUUCGGGUUGUAAACCGCUUUCGCCUGUGACGAAGCGUGAGUGACGGUAAUGGGUAAAGAAGCACCGGCUAACUACGUG